Molecule: ribosomal RNA, 612 nt
Filed under: Lycus sp. UPOL MK0637
Lineage: Eukaryota; Metazoa; Arthropoda; Insecta; Coleoptera; Lycidae
Description: partial 16S large subunit ribosomal RNA
Rfam family: Bacterial large subunit ribosomal RNA (bases 388-546)
Source: RNAcentral
UUAACAAAAACAUGUCUUUUUGAGAAUAAUUUAAAGUCUAAUCUGCUCAAUGAAGAUUAAAUUGCCGCAGUAUUUUGACUGUGCAAAGGUAGCAUAAUAAUUAGCUUCUUAAUUAGAAGCUGGAAUGAAUGAUUGGACAAGAAAAUUUCUGUCUCUAUUUAAAUGUUUAUUGAAUUUUAUUUUUAAGUUAAAAAGCUUAAAUUUAUAUAAAAGACGAGAAGACCCUAUAGAGUUUAAUAUUUUUUAUUUAUUUAAUUUUAGAAUUUUUUUUGAAUUUUAAAUAUUUAAUUGGGGUGAUUUAAAGAUUUGAAUAAUUCUUUAAUUUUUUUAUUGAUGAUAAUUAAGUUUUAAAUCUAUAUUUUUAAAUUUAAUAUAAAUUACCUUAGGGAUAACAGCGUAAUUUUUCUUUAAAGCUCUUAUUAAAAGAAGAUUUUGCGACCUCGAUGUUGGAUUAAAAUUAAUUUUUGGUGCAGUAACUUAAAAAUUGGGUCUGUUCGACCUUUAAAAUUUUACAUGAUCUGAGUUUAAACCGGUGUAAGCCAGGUUGGAUUCUAUCUUUAGAUUUAUUACAUAUUUUAGUACGAAAGGACCAAAUAUUUAUUAUAAUAAUUG